AGGACGAACGCUGGCGGCGUGCUUAACACAUGCAAGUCGAGCGGAAAGGCCCUUCGGGGUACUCGAGCGGCGAACGGGUGAGUAACACGUGAGCAAUCUGCCCCUAGCUCUGGGAUAGCUCCGGGAAACCGGAAUUAAUACCUGAUACGACCACGGCUGACAUCGGCCAUGGUGGAAAGCUUUUGCGGCUAGGGAUGAGCUCGCGGCCUAUCAGCUUGUUGGUGGGGUAACGGCCUACCAAGGCGACGACGGGUAGCCGGCCUGAGAGGGCGACCGGCCACGACUGGGACUGAGACACGGCCCAGACUCCUACGGGAGGCAGCAGUAGGGAAUAUUGCACAAUGGAGGAAACUCUGAUGCAGCGACGCCGCGUGAGUGACGAAGGCCUUCGGGUUGUAAAGCUCUGUUCUCAGGGAAAAGAAGUGAUUGUACCUGAGAAGAAAGGACCGGCUAACUUCGUGCCAGCAGCCGC
This 472-nucleotide ribosomal RNA is filed under the name uncultured bacterium. RNAcentral describes it as "SSU rRNA". It matches the Rfam family "Bacterial small subunit ribosomal RNA", at positions 26 to 518 of the family's 1533-position model. The record is from RNAcentral.